RNAcentral lists this ribosomal RNA (253 nucleotides) under uncultured bacterium. RNAcentral describes it as "partial 16S ribosomal RNA". It matches the Rfam family "Bacterial small subunit ribosomal RNA", at positions 524 to 776 of the family's 1533-position model. The record is from RNAcentral.
UACGGAAUGUGCAAGCGUUAUUCGGAAUCACUGGGCUUAAAGAGUCCGUAGGCGGCAUGUUAGGUGAGGUGUGAAAUCCCCCGGCUCAACCGAGGAAUUGCGCUUCAAACCGGCGUGCUUGAGGAAGAUAGAGGUGGGCGGAACUGAUGGUGGAGCGGUGAAAUGCGUUGAUAUCAUCAGGAACACCGGAGGCGAAGGCGGCCCACUGGGUCUUUUCUGACGCUGAGGGACGAAAGCCAGGGGAGCGAACGGG